GCGCGUGUGUUAGUGGAACGGUCUGGAAAGUCCGGCAGUACAGGGUGAUAGUCCCGUACACUAAAAUGCACACGUUGUGAACUCGAAGAGUAGGGCGGGACACGUGGUAUCCUGUCUGAAUAUGGGGGGACCAUCCUCCAAGGCUAAAUACUCCUGACUGACCGAUAGUGAACCAGUACCGUGAGGGAAAGGCGAAAAGAACCCCGGCGAGGGGAGUGAAAAAGAACCUGAAACCGUGUACGUACAAGCAGUGGGAGCCUCUUUAUGGGGUGACUGCGUACCUUUUGUAUAAUGGGUCAGCGACUUAUAUUCUGUAGCAAGGUUAACCGUAUAGGGGAGCCGCAGGGAAACCGAGUCUUAACUGGGCGUUAAGUUGCAGGGUAUAGACCCGAAACCCGGUGAUCUAGCCAUGGGCAGGUUGAAGGUUGGGUAACACUAACUGGAGGACCGAACCGACUAAUGUUGAAAAAUUAGCGGAUGACUUGUGGCUGGGGGUGAAAGGCCAAUCAAACCGGGAGAUAGCUGGUUCUCCCCGAAAGCUAUUUAGGUAGCGCCUCGUGAACUCAUCUUCGGGGGUAGAGCACUGUUUCGGCUAGGGGGUCAUCCCGACUUACCAACCCGAUGCAAACUACGAAUACCGAAGAAUGUUAUCACGGGAGACACACGGCGGGUGCUAACGUCCGUCGUGAAGAGGGAAACAACCCAGACCGCCAGCUAAGGUCCCAAAGUCAUGGUUAAGUGGGAAACGAUGUGGGAAGGCCCAGACAGCCAGGAUGUUGGCUUAGAAGCAGCCAUCAUUUAAAGAAAGCGUAAUAGCUCACUGGUCGAGUCGGCCUGCGCGGAAGAUGUAACGGGGCUAAACCAUGCACCGAAGCUGCGGCAGCGACACUAUGUGUUGUUGGGUAGGGGAGCGUUCUGUAAGCCUGUGAAGGUGUACUGUGAGGUAUGCUGGAGGUAUCAGAAGUGCGAAUGCUGACAUAAGUAACGAUAAAGCGGGUGAAAAGCCCGCUCGCCGGAAGACCAAGGGUUCCUGUCCAACGUUAAUCGGGGCAGGGUGAGUCGACCCCUAAGGCGAGGCCGAAAGGCGUAGUCGAUGGGAAACAGGUUAAUAUUCCUGUACUUGGUGUUACUGCGAAGGGGGGACGGAGAAGGCUAUGUUAGCCGGGCGACGGUUGUCCCGGUUUAAGCAUGUAGGCGGGAAGUUUAGGUAAAUCCGGACUUCUUUUAACGCUGAGGUGUGAUGACGAGGCACUACGGUGCUGAAGUAACAAAUGCCCUGCUUCCAGGAAAAGCCUCUAAGCAUCAGGUAACAACGAAUCGUACCCCAAACCGACACAGGUGGUCAGGUAGAGAAUACCAAGGCGCUUGAGAGAACUCGGGUGAAGGAACUAGGCAAAAUGGUGCCGUAACUUCGGGAGAAGGCACGCUGAUAUGUAGGUGAAGUCCCUCGCGGAUGGAGCUGAAAUCAGUCGAAGAUACCAGCUGGCUGCAACUGUUUAUUAAAAACACAGCACUGUGCAAACACGAAAGUGGACGUAUACGGUGUGACGCCUGCCCGGUGCCGGAAGGUUAAUUGAUGGGGUUAGCGCAAGCGAAGCUCUUGAUCGAAGCCCCGGUAAACGGCGGCCGUAACUAUAACGGUCCUAAGGUAGCGAAAUUCCUUGUCGGGUAAGUUCCGACCUG
Molecule: ribosomal RNA, 1683 nt
Filed under: human gut metagenome
Description: bacterial LSU rRNA
Rfam family: Bacterial large subunit ribosomal RNA
Source: RNAcentral